CUCUUUGUAUUUCUGCCGGCAUAAAUUCAACCAAAAUCAAUUAACCACUACCCAAUAUAGAAACAAAGAUAAAAGACCCAUGCCAAGAAUAUCAACUAUUAAUAAAUAAAAUGGCCUGAAUGAAGAAAUUUCCCCAGAGAAAAAAGAAAGAAGAAGAGCAGAAUGGAGAAGGAGGAGGAGGUCCGUAGAAUGGACAAACCUAAUACUUGUCGUUCCAGUUUCUGAGUUUCCAUCAAAGCAGAUUGACCUUAACAAAAAUUGUACCAUAAGAGAACCAAAGAAAUGACGGUACAGUAAUUGUGUCUAUAAGAUUGAUAUAAAAAUAUAUAUGAGAUCAAAUCAAUUAUAUCAUUAUGGUAGCGAAGCAAGGGAGCCAGCAUUUGAUAAACACAGUUCGACUUGCAAUUUUGGCAUCCAAAUUCUUACUAAUCGAAUCAUCAAAAUGUUAAUUUCUCUUCAGCCUCGCCCAAAUUUAAAACAGCUGAAUCUUU
Molecule: long non-coding RNA, 491 nt
Filed under: Fragaria vesca (wild strawberry)
Lineage: Eukaryota; Viridiplantae; Streptophyta; Magnoliopsida; Rosales; Rosaceae
Description: long non-coding RNA (FVES_LNC003657)
Source: RNAcentral